AGUGAACGCUGGCGGUAUGCCUAACACAUGCAAGUCGAACGGCAGCACAGUAAGAGGUUGCUAUUACUGGUGGCGGGUGGCGGACGGGUGAGGAAUACAUCGGGAUGUACUGGUUAGUGGGGCGUAACGUAUGGUAACUUACGCUAAUACCGCAGGCGACAUACGGGUGAAAGCAGAGGAUCUUUGGACCUUGCGCGAUUGAAUCAGCCGAUGUCGGAUUAGCUAGUUGGCGGGGUAAAGGCCCACCAAGGCGACGAUCCGUAGCUGGUCUGAGAGGAUGAUCAGCCACACUGGAACUGAGACACGGUCCAGACCCCUACGGGAGGCAGCAGUGGGGAAUAUUGGACAAUGGGCGCAAGCCUGAUCCAGCCAUACCGCGUGGGUGAAGAAGGCCUUCGGGUUGUAAAGCCCUUUUGUUGGGAAAGAAAAGCAGCAGGUUAAUACCCCGCUGUUCUGACGGUACCCAAAGAAUAAGCACCGGCUAACUUCGUG
Molecule: ribosomal RNA, 492 nt
Filed under: uncultured bacterium
Lineage: Bacteria
Description: partial 16S ribosomal RNA
Rfam family: Bacterial small subunit ribosomal RNA
Source: RNAcentral